RNAcentral lists this ribosomal RNA (434 nucleotides) under uncultured Lachnospiraceae bacterium. Its description in RNAcentral is "partial 16S ribosomal RNA". It matches the Rfam family "Bacterial small subunit ribosomal RNA", at positions 341 to 792 of the family's 1533-position model. The record is from RNAcentral. Lineage: Bacteria; Bacillati; Bacillota; Clostridia; Lachnospirales; Lachnospiraceae.
ACGGGAGGCAGCAGUGGGGAAUAUUGCACAAUGGGGGAAACCCUGAUGCAGCGACGCCGCGUGAGCGAAGAAGUAUUUCGGUAUGUAAAGCUCUAUCAGCAGGGAAGAAAAUGACGGUACCUGACUAAGAAGCUCCGGCUAAAUACGUGCCAGCAGCCGCGGUAAUACGUAUGGAGCAAGCGUUAUCCGGAUUUACUGGGUGUAAAGGGAGCGUAGACGGAACAGCAAGUCUGAUGUGAAAGGCAGGGGCUCAACUCCUGGACUGCAUUGGAAACUGUUGAUCUUGAGUGUCGGAGAGGUAAGCGGAAUUCCUAGUGUAGCGGUGAAAUGCGUAGAUAUUAGGAGGAACACCAGUGGCGAAGGCGGCUUGCUGGACGACAACUGACGCUGAGGCGCGAAAGCGUGGGGAGCAAACAGGAUUAGAUACCCUGGUA